RNAcentral lists this ribosomal RNA (405 nucleotides) under uncultured bacterium. Its description in RNAcentral is "partial 16S ribosomal RNA". It matches the Rfam family "Bacterial small subunit ribosomal RNA", at positions 30 to 526 of the family's 1533-position model. The record is from RNAcentral.
AUUGAACGCUGGCGGCAGGCCUAACACAUGCAAGUCGAACGAGUGGCGGACGGGUGAGUAAUGCUUGGGAAUCUAGCUUAUGGAGGGGGAUAACUAUGGGAAACGGUAGCUAAUACCGCGUACCAUAGGAUGAGACCAGGUGGGAUGAGGUUGUUGGUGAGGUAAAGGCUCACCAAGCCGACGAUCUCUAGCUGGUCUGAGAGGAUGACCAGCCACACUGGAACUGAGACACGGUCCAGACUCCUACGGGAGGCAGCAGUGGGGAAUAUUGCGCAAUGGGGGCAACCUGACGCAGCCAUGCCGCGUGUAUGAAUAAGGCCUUCGGGUUGUAAAGUUCUUUCGGUCGGGAGGCGUUACCCACAGAAGAAGCACCGGCUAACUCCGUGCCAGCAGCCGCGGUAAUAC